Peromyscus californicus insignis is the source of this 167-nucleotide small nuclear RNA. RefSeq annotates it as U1 spliceosomal RNA. The record is from RefSeq and is a predicted model, not a curated record. Lineage: Eukaryota; Metazoa; Chordata; Mammalia; Rodentia; Cricetidae. The transcript has a single exon.
AUACUUACCUGGCAGAGGAGAUACCAUGAUCACGAUGGUGAAUUUCCCAGGUCGAGGCUUAUCCAUUGCACUCCGGAUGUGCGGACCCCUGCGGAUUUCCCCAAGUGCGGGGGAAACUCGACUGCAUAAUUUGUGGUAGUGGGGGACUGUGUUCGCGCUCUCCCCUU